CUGUCCACUAGUCGCUGUGAGCUAUAUGUUCAGCCUGUAUUAUGUGCUGAAUAUAAAGUAUCCAACGGGAGCAGCCCUGACUCUGGAGUUCAUCCAGAGGUGCCUGCUGGGGAUAAACCCAGAACGGGGCACGAAAGCAGAAAAGCGGAGGAAACAGUACAACAUCCCUCCAAAACUGCUUAGAUUCCUGUCGGACCUUAAUGACUUCAAGAAUCCGUGGAAGAUUUAAAGCAGAAGAAGCAUCUCAAACAGAGAGAAAGGAGAGUGAUGUGUGUC
This is a long non-coding RNA of Etheostoma spectabile (orangethroat darter), 276 nucleotides long. RefSeq lists it as uncharacterized. The transcript has 3 exons. The record is from RefSeq and is a predicted model, not a curated record. Lineage: Eukaryota; Metazoa; Chordata; Actinopteri; Perciformes; Percidae.